AGAUUGAACGCUGGCGGCAUGCCUAACACAUGCAAGUCGAACGGGAGUAGCAAUACUCUAGUGGCGGACGGGUGAGGAAUACGUAGGAAUUUGCCCUUAAGUGGGGGAUAACCCGGGGAAACCCGGAUUAAUACCGCAUGACCUCGAAAGAGCAAAGUGGGGAUCGCAAGACCUCACGCUUUGGAGAAGCCUACGUCGGAUUAGCUAGUUGGUGAGGUAAUGGCUCACCAAGGCGACGAUCCGUAACUGGUCUGAGAGGAUGAUCAGUCACACCGGAACUGAGACACGGUCCGGACUCCGUACGGGAGCAGCAGGUGGGAAUAGUUAGGACAAGUCGGGCGACGAAGCCUAGAUCCAGGACUAAGUCGGACCGUACGGUGGUAGGUA
This 387-nucleotide ribosomal RNA is filed under the name uncultured soil bacterium. Its description in RNAcentral is "bacterial SSU rRNA". It matches the Rfam family "Bacterial small subunit ribosomal RNA", at positions 26 to 413 of the family's 1533-position model. The record is from RNAcentral.